This is a long non-coding RNA of Cavia porcellus (domestic guinea pig), 2555 nucleotides long. RefSeq lists it as uncharacterized. NCBI's taxonomy places the organism in Eukaryota, Metazoa, Chordata, Mammalia, Rodentia, Caviidae. The record is from RefSeq and is a predicted model, not a curated record. The transcript has 2 exons.
GGCCGCGAUUAGCAUAAUAGUAUAGAAACAAGGAAACUUUUCCGAGCUGUCAAUCAGGGCCCAAUCAGCUGACUGUCAGCUGGGACGGGCUGGGUUAACCCUUGCCGCGCCGCAGCUCGGAAGAGGGAGGAGGGAGUGGGCCCGGGUGCAAAGUUUAGUGCAAGAGCGAGAGUUUUCCCGAGGGGCAGCUGGAAGCCGCAGCACCCAGCAGGACUGUGUGCGUCCUCCGGAGCGCGACGGAGGCCUCUGGCUCAUUGAUCCCGCGCUCGUCCGCAACCCGCGCCCCUCACCGCCUGCGCCCCGGCCCCGGGGUAGUGAAUCGGCCUGCCGCUUGCUUUCUUUUCCUGCACUCUGCAACUCUGGCACCCCAGGUGUCUGCCCGGGGACCUCCCUUCCCCGCGCCUGGCUGCGCCCUGAAGCUCAAACUUGGCCCAACUCUUUGUCCCUCUGCCCGUGCGGGUGCAGUGGGCUGGCUGGAGGCGCGGGGUGGGGACUGCGCGCGGGACGCCUCUGGCAGUUCGCCCGCCUCGCGGCGUGGGGUCCCCUGAGGGAGAAAGCUCCUUCGACCACCCUCUUGGGAAGGAAGGAAAAUAAGUUGUUCCGGACCUAUCCCAGCGGGGACUUAGUGGGCCGCUGGCGUAGCGCGCCCUUGGGGAGCAAACAUCUACUAGAGAGAGUUAACUCCGGUCCCCGGCUCGGCCUUGGCUGGAGUUUGGCCUCUGAGAUUUCUCUCUCUCUUGCUCUCUCCAUCCUCAUCUGAAAAAUCUGAUAUCUUCCCUCUGUUAAAAAAAAAAAAAUACCGAGCUGCGUUUCCUUCCUUUACAUUUUUACAUUUGACUUAAUUAUUUCGGACUUGAUUAUGAUCCGAAACUGUGCGGGGGGGGCAAUACCCCACUCCUCCCUAGCUUCCCUGCAAGGGUUAAAUUUUAAACAGCUGUUUUUCUGGAGGAGUCCGGAAACCCAGAAUUUGGAAGAGAUGGGGGAGCGCCCCCUCCCCGCCUUGCAGAUAGGUAAUAACUAGUUCACAUUUCUAGAUCGAUUCUUUUAAAGCGGCGGAAAAUAAAAAAAAGGAGAGAGAGAGAGAGCGAGGAAGAAAAAGAAAACAGAAAGGGACUAGCAACUCUUUUCUAAGAUUUUAAAGCGAUAGGCCAGCCAGAGGAGCUGAGAUUUAAUUGGGAGAAAGCAAGAUUGCAUUGAAACCGACUCAUUUUUUAUUUUUUAUUUUUGGAAGACCAGCCCACCUGCUUGGAAAUUGGAACUCUUGAUUCCUCCAGUUAACGUAAUGCGUUUGGUGUUAAUCAUAUUUAUUUUAUUUUAUGGAAGGGGGAGGGCUCUAGGAGCACUUAAAAAAAAAUCUGAGAAGCCUGCAAAAGGAUCGAAGACUGGGAACUAUUGUUGGACCCAGUUGGUUUUUACCUCAACAGCGCCACCUUUCGGCAAAGGUCAGUUGAAAUUGAUCCGCGUCCAGUUUUGUUUAAGUGGAAAGAAGCUGGUUUCCCAGCGUGGGAGGAGGAAAGAGGCUCAGAAAAGGCUCUUCCUGAUAUGAAGUAUUGGCUUUUCACAAGAGAUGUGAGAGACCCAAAUGUUUUCUGGGAAGGUGUGCCUGAUUUCACCCAGAUCUGUUCCCUCCCUUUAUCUGAUCAAAUCCCAGCGCAGCCUGGCAGACAAGAGUCACUGAUUUAAUACACAGCUUGGGGGACCCGUGAACACUGGCAUUCAGAGACCUCUGUGGUUUCCAGCAGGAGACAGAGACGUAAGAUGAUGGGUCCUGUUUUCCAAGAUUACCGCCUUUCUCUAUUUCCUCUUUCUCUUUUCAGGGCCUUCUGCUUCUGCUGAGAUUUUUCUUUUCCUUCAAUUAGGGACUGCCUGUGACGUGCUCUUCCAUUCUCAUCGCUUUUGAUCCCAGCUACAGCUUAUGCCAGUGAGGGAGUUUAUCUCCAAAGCGCUCGACCCUUCAAAGAUUUUAUUGUCAUCAACUCAGAGCUGCUCUUAAAAAAAAAAAAAAAAAAAAGCAAAGGAGAUAAAAUAAAUAAAUAAAUACAGGAAGCUGAUAUCAGGGAAUCUUUUUGCAGGCGGUGUCUUUUAUGCCUGAUAACUGGGCGGACAACAGGCUCAGUGGUGAUGCUGGCUCUGAAGUUUUAUCCUCUUCCUGCUCCUGCUGAAGGGGGAUGCUUACUUCUUAUUCCAGACUUGUUCAGCAGCCAUCUGACCUGGGAAAGAAAUGCAGUUCUCCAAAGUACUGAGCAAACUUGAAUUCUUCUGUGGUUAAAAAGAAAGAAUGUUGAAGGAGAUGUUUUCUAGAUUUGCGAGCUUUUGGCUUUCUUUAGUCCAGGCCUGGGGAAAGGGGUCUCUACAGCUCUGUUUCACAUUAUAGUUCUCAUUUACCUCUGAGGUGUGGUUGAGCACUCUUGUGCAUUGUUCUGUGCACUGAAACACCAGAUGUAUCCAUUCAGCAUCCUCUGAUGAAGGUCAGAAAUGGGGCUCACACCUCUACCCAUCCCAAAUAAAAACUGGCAUCAAAUAUAGCCUUGUUGAUAAACUUUUUUUAAUAUUUA